GGAGAUAGCUGGUUCUCUCCGAAAUAGCUUUAGGGCUAGCCUCGAGGUAAAGAGUCAUGGAGGUAGAGCACUGUUUGGACUAGGGGCCCUUCUCGGGUUACCGAAUUCAGAUAAACUCCGAAUGCCAUGUACUUAUACUCGGGAGUCAGACUGCGAGUGAUAAGAUCCGUAGUCGAAAGGGAAACAGCCCAGACCACCAGUUAAGGUCCCCAAAUAUAUGUUAAGUGGAAAAGGAUGUGGGGUUGCUUAGACAACCAGGAUGUUGGCUUAGAAGCAGCCACCAUUGAAAGAGUGCGUAAUAGCUCACUGGUCGAGUGACCCCGCGCCGAAAAUGUACCGGGGCUAAACAUAUUACCGAAACUGUGGAUGAACCUCUUUAGAGGUUCGUGGUAGGAGAGCGUUCUAAGGGCGGUGAAGUCAGACCGGAAGGACUGGUGGAGCGCUUAGAAGUGAGAAUGCCGGUAUGAGUAGCGAAAGAAGGGUGAGAAUCCCUUCCACCGAAUAUCUAAGGUUUCCUGAGGAAGGCUCGUCCGCUCAGGGUUAGUCGGGACCUAAGCCGAGGCCGAUAGGCGUAGGCGAUGGACAACAGGUAGAGAUUCCUGUACCAGUGCUAAUUGUUUAACCGAUGGGGUGACACAGAAGGAUAGGGAAUCGCACGAAUGGAAAUGUGCGUCCAAGCAGUGAGUGUGAGAAGUAGGCAAAUCCGCUUCUCGCGAAGCAUGAGCUGUGAUGGGGAAGGAAAUUAAGUACGGAAGUUCCUGAUUUCACGCUGUCAAGAAAAGCCUCUAGGAAGAGUAGUACUGCCCGUACCGCAAACCGACACAGGUAGAUGAGGAGAGAAUCCUAAGGUGAGCGAGAGAACUCUCGUUAAGGAACUCGGCAAAAUGACCCCGUAACUUCGGGAGAAGGGGUGCUCUAUUAGGGUGCAAGCCCGAGAGAGCCGCAGUGAAUAGGCCCAGGCGACUGUUUAGCAAAAACACAGGUCUCUGCAAAACCGUAAGGUGACGUAUAGGGGCUGACGCCUGCCCGGUGCUGGAAGGUUAAGAGGAGUGCUUAGCUUCGGCGAAGGUACGAAUUGAAGCCCCAGUAAACGGCGGCCGUAACUAUAACGGUCCUAAGGUAGCGAAAUUCCUUGUCGGGUAAGUUCCGACCCGCACGAAAGGCGCAACGAUCUGGGCACUGUCUCAACGAGAGACUCGGUGAAAUUAUAGUACCUGUGAAGAUGCAGGUUACCCGCGACAGGACGGAAAGACCCCGUGGAGCUUUACUGCAACCUGAUAUGGAAUGUUUGUACCGCUUGUACAGGAUAGGUAGGAGCCGAAGAGACGUGUGCGCUAGCAUACGAGGAGGCAAUGGUGGGAUACUACCCUGGCUGUAUGACCAUUCUAACCCGCCACGCUUAGCGCGUGGGGAGACAGUGUCAGGUGGGCAGUUUGACUGGGGCGGUCGCCUCCUAAAGAGUAACGGAGGCGCCCAAAGGUUCCCUCAGAAUGGAUGGAAAUCAUUCGCAGAGUGUAAAGGCACAAGGGAGCUUGACUGCGAGACUGACAAGUCGAGCAGGGACGAAAGUCGGGCUUAGUGAUCCGGUGGUUCCGCAUGGAAGGGCCAUCGCUCAACGGAUAAAAGCUACCCCGGGGAUAACAGGCUUAUCUCCCCCAAGAGUCCACAUCGACGGGGAGGUUUGGCACCUCGAUGUCGGCUCGUCGCAUCCUGGGGCUGUAGUCGGUCCCAAGGGUUGGGCUGUUCGCCCAUUAAAGCGGCACGCGAGCUGGGUUCAGAACGUCGUGAGACAGUUCGGUCCCUAUCCGUCGCGGGCGCAGGAAAUUUGAGAGGAGCUGUCCUUAGUACGAGAGGACCGGGAUGGACACACCGCUGGUGUACCAGUUGUUCCGCCAGGAGCAUCGCUGGGUAGCUAUGUGUGGCAGGGAUAAACGCUGAAAGCAUCUAAGCGUGAAGCCCCCCUCAAGAUGAGAUUUCCCAUUUCUUCGGAAAGUAAGAUCCCUGAAAGAUGAUCAGGUAGAUAGGUUUGGAGUGGAAGUGUAGCGAUACAUGGAGCGGACAAAUACUAAUCGAUCGAGGACUUAACCAAAA
Molecule: ribosomal RNA, 2091 nt
Filed under: Listeria monocytogenes
Lineage: Bacteria; Bacillati; Bacillota; Bacilli; Caryophanales; Listeriaceae
Description: partial 23S ribosomal RNA
Rfam family: Bacterial large subunit ribosomal RNA
Source: RNAcentral